CCAACUGGGUACCUCCAGGAGGUCACUCCCAGGGGCUCUGUCCAAGUGGUGUAGGGGAACAUAGGGCUCUGCCCCAUGAUGUACAGUCCCUUUCCACAACGUUGGAGAUAAAGCUGAGCCUUGAGUCUGCGCCUGCAUAUUCCUACAGCUUCUCAGAGUCCUGUGGACAAUGACUGAAGAGACAAACCAUGCGGGAAACACCU
RNAcentral lists this small nucleolar RNA (203 nucleotides) under Rhinolophus ferrumequinum (greater horseshoe bat). Its description in RNAcentral is "Small nucleolar RNA SNORA73 family (ENSRFEG00010013356.1)". It matches the Rfam family "Small nucleolar RNA SNORA73 family". Rfam says of the family: U17 (SNORA73A and SNORA73B) also known as E1 belongs to the H/ACA class of small nucleolar RNAs (snoRNAs). Vertebrate U17 is intron-encoded and ranges in length from 200-230 nucleotides, longer than most snoRNAs. The record is from Rfam by way of RNAcentral. Lineage: Eukaryota; Metazoa; Chordata; Mammalia; Chiroptera; Rhinolophidae.